GACGAACGCUGGCGUUGUGCUUAACACAUGCAAGUCGAACGGAAAGGCCCUGCUUUUGUGGGGUGCUCGAGUGGCGAACGGGUGAGUAACACGUGAGUAACCUGCCCUUGACUUUGGGAUAACUUCAGGAAACUGGGGCUAAUACCGGAUAGGAGCUCCUGCUGCAUGGUGGGGGUUGGAAAGUUUCGGCGGUUGGGGAUGGACUCGCGGCUUAUCAGCUUGUUGGUGGGGUAGUGGCUUACCAAGGCUUUGACGGGUAGCCGGCCUGAGAGGGUGACCGGCCACAUUGGGACUGAGAUACGGCCCAGACUCCUACGGGAGGCAGCAGUGGGGAAUAUUGCACAAUGGGCGGAAGCCUGAUGCAGCAACGCCGCGUGCGGGAUGACGGCCUUCGGGUUGUAAACCGCUUUCGCCUGUGACGAAGCGUGAGUGACGGUAAUGGGUAAAGAAGCACCGGCUAACUACGUGCCAGCAGCCGCGGUGAUACGUAGGGUGCGAGCGUUGUCCGGAUUUAUUGGGCGUAAAGGGCUCGUAGGUGGUUGAUCACGUCGGAAGUGUAAUCUUGGGGCUUAACCCUGAGCGUGCUUUCGAUACGGGUUGACUUGAGGAAGGUAGGGGAGAAUGGAAUUCCUGGUGGAGCGGUGGAAUGCGCAGAUAUCAGGAGGAACACCAGUGGCGAAGGCGGUUCUCUGGGCCUUUCCUGACGCUGAGGAGCGAAAGCGUGGGGAGCGAACAGGCUUAGAUACCCUGGUAGUCCACGCUGUAAACGGUGGGUACUAGGUGUGGGGUCCAUUCCACGGGUUCCGUGCCGUAGCUAACGCUUUAAGUACCCCGCCUGGGGAGUACGGCCGCAAGGCUAAAACUCAAAGGAAUUGACGGGGCCCCGCACAAGCGGCGGAGCAUGCGGAUUAAUUCGAUGCAACGCGUAGAACCUUACCUGGGUUUGACAUGGAUCGGGAGUGCUCAGAGAUGGGUGUGCCUCUUUUGGGGUCGGUUCACAGGUGGUGCAUGGCUGUCGUCAGCUCGUGUCGUGAGAUGUUGGGUUAAGUCCCGCAACGAGCGCAACCCUUGUUCACUGUUGCCAGCACGUUAUGGUGGGGACUCAGUGGAGACCGCCGGGGUCAACUCGGAGGAAGGUGGGGAUGACGUCAAGUCAUCAUGCCCCUUAUGUCCAGGGCUUCACGCAUGCUACAAUGGCUGGUACAGAGAGUGGCGAGCCUGUGAGGGUGAGCGAAUCUCGGAAAGCCGGUCUCAGUUCGGAUUGGGGUCUGCAACUCGACCUCAUGAAGUCGGAGUCGCUAGUAAUCGCAGAUCAGCAACGCUGCGGUGAAUACGUUCCCGGGGCU
RNAcentral lists this ribosomal RNA (1346 nucleotides) under uncultured bacterium. RNAcentral's name for it is "partial 16S ribosomal RNA". It matches the Rfam family "Bacterial small subunit ribosomal RNA", at positions 28 to 1381 of the family's 1533-position model. The record is from RNAcentral.